GAUGACAAGGUCCAUCGUAAUUGAUAGCUGAUUUAUUUAUCUUUAGUCCAUAAUAUAUAUGUAGGAUCAGCAAUUCUUCAGAUGAGUUUGUGCAGACUGACAGGGAUUACUUCCAUUUCUUGAACUUGCCCCCACCAUGCUUGCCAAAUUUGCCCUUAUGCUUCCCAAAUUUCCCCUGCUUGAACUUGCCAUGCUUGCCGCCGCCGUGUGAUGAAAAGUGAGCACCGUGGCCAACAUUGUGAGCACCAUGACCCCCAUAACCACCACCAUAACCGCCAGGAAUG
This 284-nucleotide long non-coding RNA is filed under the name Prunus persica (peach). Its description in RNAcentral is "long non-coding RNA (PPER_LNC002816)". The record is from RNAcentral. Lineage: Eukaryota; Viridiplantae; Streptophyta; Magnoliopsida; Rosales; Rosaceae.